AUUGAACGCUGGCGGCAUGCUUUACACAUGCAAGUCGAACGGCAGCGCGGGCUUCGGCCUGGCGGCGAGUGGCGAACGGGUGAGUAAUGCAUCGGAACGUGCCCAGUAGUGGGGGAUAGCCCGGCGAAAGCCGGAUUAAUACCGCAUACGACCUGAGGGUGAAAGCGGGGGACCGAAAGGCCUCGCGCUAUUGGAGCGGCCGAUGUCGGAUUAGCUAGUUGGUGGGGUAAAGGCUUACCAAGGCGACGAUCCGUAGCUGGUCUGAGAGGACGACCAGCCACACUGGGACUGAGACACGGCCCAGACUCCUACGGGAGGCAGCAGUGGGGAAUUUUGGACAAUGGGGGCAACCCUGAUCCAGCCAUGCCGCGUGCGGGAAGAAGGCCUUCGGGUUGUAAAACGCUUUUGUGCGGGAAGAAAUCCUCUGGGCUAAUACCCCGGGGGGAUGACGGUACCGGAAGAAUAAGCACCGGCUAACUACGUG
RNAcentral lists this ribosomal RNA (484 nucleotides) under uncultured bacterium. RNAcentral's name for it is "partial 16S ribosomal RNA". It matches the Rfam family "Bacterial small subunit ribosomal RNA", at positions 29 to 507 of the family's 1533-position model. The record is from RNAcentral.